Firmicutes bacterium CAG:475 is the source of this 94-nucleotide regulatory RNA element. It matches the Rfam family "THF (Tetrahydrofolate) riboswitch aptamer". Rfam says of the family: THF riboswitch presents a pseudoknot that joins P1-P2 and the loop of P3 and two THF binding. The record is from Rfam. NCBI's taxonomy places the organism in Bacteria, Bacillati, Bacillota.
GAAGUAGUAGAAAUUGCGCGUUAAGUGCCGUGCGAACGUGGGGUGUCGGCGGACGAAGAGCGUUGCUCGCGGUGCAAUAUUCACUCCGGACUUC